UACGAAGGGUGCAAGCGUUACUCGGAAUUACUGGGCGUAAAGCGUGCGUAGGUGGUUUGUUAAGUCUGAUGUGAAAGCCCUGGGCUCAACCUGGGAAUUGCAUUGGAUACUGGCAGGCUAGAGUGCGGUAGAGGGUAGUGGAAUUCCUAGUGUAGAGGUGAAAUUCGUAGAUAUUAGGAAGAACACCAGUGGCGAAGGCGGCUCACUGGCCCGGUACUGACGCUGAGGCGCGAAAGCGUGGGGAGCAAACAGG
RNAcentral lists this ribosomal RNA (253 nucleotides) under uncultured bacterium. Its description in RNAcentral is "partial 16S ribosomal RNA". It matches the Rfam family "Bacterial small subunit ribosomal RNA", at positions 524 to 776 of the family's 1533-position model. The record is from RNAcentral.